CUGUAAAGCAAAGAGGUUCCCGAUUAAACUGUGUUGAAGAAGAUUUCUCAGUGUGGCGUUGUUCUUGCUGGUCAAGGGUGGAUGCCGCAAGUGGUGGCCCGUAUGAGGAAUUCAGAACUUCUCACAGUCGGGGCGGCGCCGGUAAGUUCCCAAGGAUCAGCAAGACCCGGUGUGGAUUCCAGAGAGACUAACGAGGAGGUGCAACAAACAAGAUGAAGCCUCCGAUAUUGAUCCUGCUGCUGAUCUUGACAACACCGUGGCUGAUCCAGGCCAGAGAACAAAUCCUGAUGGCCAGCAAUUUCACGGAGAACAGCAACCUGAGUUGGCAGCUGAGUGCCUUCCUGCAGGGAAAUUGGAGUCAACAGUUCGAGAACCUGACAGACACCCUGACACAACAGAUUAUUGCCGUGAAUGCUACACGCCUGAGCCUGCCCACUGUUAAUACCCUCUUAACUACCCUUAAGCGAGCCUUUAGUUUAGUUAAGGAAUGGGCUGGAGUAGGGGUUAUGUUUUCCAUGAUGCUGUUGGCCAUUUUUGUUUGCCUGUGGUGCCUAUGUAGGGUCAGGAAGUCACAAAAAUCCCAAGCUGCCAUGUUGGUACAGGCCUUUGUUGCUGUGGAAGCAGGACAGUCCCCUCAAGCAUGGUUAUCCAUGCUGACAGACAAAUAGAUGUCUGUCUCGCCCUUGCUGGAUGCGUAUCUGAAUCAGUCAUGCUCAAUGACAGGCACCUACCCUCUUGCUGAGCGAAUAAGCAUACAUGUGUUCCCUUCAACCUAAGACAUGAGCCUGUGAGGGCAACACAGUGACUCUUUGACGGUAAGAUAGGGACACUGGGGUUGAACCUAAGACAGAGAUGACUGAAAUCUGACAACAGAUAGAUACUGCUACUCCUAUAAUAUUAAAAAAAAAAGGGUUUCCGCCCUCUGCCAGCCCGACGGCGAGCGCUCUCUCUG
This 952-nucleotide long non-coding RNA is filed under the name Cricetulus griseus (Chinese hamster). Its description in RNAcentral is "lncRNA (ENSCGRG00000024324.1)". The record is from RNAcentral. Lineage: Eukaryota; Metazoa; Chordata; Mammalia; Rodentia; Cricetidae.